UCUGCCAUCAGUGAAAUAAAAUGUAAAAGAAAAUCAAUUUUCUAUCCUCAGUCACGCGAAAGCAAAACCCUUUCUCUCUUCUUGCUAUUGAGCCGCCGUCGUUGUUGAGAAUUUUGUUCUUCUCUUCGUUUCGCCUUCGUCUCGCAAGAUAACAUGCAUAUGAGGUAUUAAAUGGUUGCUAUAGGUUGUGCGUCCUCUCAUUCAUACGAGGUAUUUAUGAAUUUAGGUUUUACUUUGUUCAUCCAAUAUUCCAAAUAAUAAACCCUCGCCAUUUUAGUGUUCAUGUAUGUGCAUAUUGACAGUUAUUAUAAGAAUGUUCUUAAGAAUCUUAUAUCCCCAACUAUUCCUUGUUGAGUGUCUAUGACAACUGAUUGGGGAAAUUACUGAAUGUUGGUAUUUCAUGACAAUACUUUUGGGCCUUAACACAGAACAGAAGCCUAACAACGGUCAACAUUUUGCAAGAUCCUGAAUUGGUGUUCAUACUAAAAUCAGGGGAAGAUAGGAAACCGCAAUUGGGACCGUAAUAUUAUGGAUACAGUAGCCUUUGCAACCACAACAACUGCAUAGACGACCGCAAUCGCAAUUUCAAAUUAUGAUUCAGGUAUAAUCCAUAUCGCAAAUGUUGCAAGAAAUUUCAUGCCUUUUAAUCAUCAGUGAGCAGAUCAUCUAUUAUAGCAUUCUAUGAAAAUAUUUUUGACUUUUGCUAAGUUGCUUUUGAUGUCCAUUGUUAAAGUCCUCUCUCGGCUCAAAACAUUAAUUUAGUGGAAAAAUUAGUAAUGAGUGUUAUGCUUGUGUUGACCCUAAAACUUACCGAGAACAUGUUCAAGUCUCUCUUUGAAAAGAGUAUUGAAUGGACAGAAUCUGUAACAAAUGAAACUAGAUCAGCCGGAAGUAUGGACAGGGCCAUAUGCUCUUAUGAAAUGGUAAAUAAGCCUGAUGAGAACCAUAUUUAAGCAAUUGUCUAAUGUCUCUAUAUUCCUCAAAUACUAUUUGACAUAAGUGUGCUAUACAAGGUUAUGAAAGUCAAAUGACAUGUUGUCCAAGAUCUCUGGAUUUUUUUUGGUGUUUAAGGAAAAUGAUUCAACAUACAAGAAGAAAAAUUAUGUUGGCUUCCACAAUUGGUGCUUAAUUCUUACCAGAAGAUCUUUUGUGAACAUGGUUCAGUUUCUCUACAGGUGGACUACAAACACCAACAUGUUUUGAAACUUGAAGCUUUGGAAGAAUGCACUAUAACAUGUUUUGAAUACAAGGAAGUAAAGGCAAAAAAGAAUAUUUGAGAUAUUGUUAGAGAGCUGGUUAAUUGUUGUAUAUUUAAUUUUAAUAGAGUUUACCUUUGUAUACUAUUUUGUUGUAGUGAAAUGCUUUAAAAUAAAUAUAAAAUGGCUCUUAUCAUCACUUUAAUAUAAUUGUUAUUUGAUUAUCAAUACUUAAAUAAAAUUGUCUAUUAAUGUUAAUUAAAAUAUCGUAUUCAAAAUUAGUUGGGACUC
This is a long non-coding RNA of Vicia villosa (hairy vetch), 1487 nucleotides long. RefSeq lists it as uncharacterized. Lineage: Eukaryota; Viridiplantae; Streptophyta; Magnoliopsida; Fabales; Fabaceae. The record is from RefSeq and is a predicted model, not a curated record. The transcript is spliced from 4 exons.